Long non-coding RNA from Rhagoletis zephyria (snowberry fruit fly), 1839 nucleotides. RefSeq lists it as uncharacterized. NCBI's taxonomy places the organism in Eukaryota, Metazoa, Arthropoda, Insecta, Diptera, Tephritidae. The record is from RefSeq and is a predicted model, not a curated record.
UUGUAAGUACUUAUGUAUGUAUGUACAUAUGUAGGUAAAAUAAUGCUUUAGUUGCCAUUGUCAUUAUUUCUUCUUAUUUAUUAAUCGCACAACAUUUACUUUCUUUCCCUUCUUUUACCAAAACAAAAAAAAAACGAAAAAAAACAAAACACAAAACACCCUCGAUUACAUCUACAGAAUAGCAUCAGUGAAUUGGACAUUUCCAGCCAACAAUUUCUAGCCAAUAAUAAACCAGAAAACUCUACCUCCAUUCAUGCCGUCGGCGAUGCUGUUGAAACAACAACAGCUUUAACAACAACAAAAACGACGUCAAUUACUGCUAAUGCAAACCCACCAGCAGAUGGCGGUGUUCUUCUACAAAACCAAAUAACGGACGUUGAGCAACAUGAACAACAGGAGGUGGAGACAAAACCAGAAGAUAAGAAGACAAAUUAAAUGGGCCAGUGGGAUACAUAUGUCACCGUGAGGAAAGGACGAAAAACUAAUGGAGAGUGAAGCAGAGUAUGCCGCUUUGCAAUUACUCUGAGUCUGAUAUUCUCAAGUUUUAUGCAGUACAUGUAGAAAAACAAGCAACAUAAAAAAAAAAAUAAAAAUAAAAAAAUAAACGCCAGAGAAGAAAACAAAAGGGAAAACAAGGAUGCUGUAAAGGGAAAAGUCGAAAGUGUUUAGAGUAAGAAGUGUAAUGCUCCGAAAAAGUGUGUUUAACUAUACUUUAACAGAAAAUGCGCGAAAAAUUUAAGCAAAGCAAAAAAAGGUAGAAAUGUGGAUUAGCUGGGGGGAAUGUCUAAAAAAAAUGUUGAAGAAGAAAGAUUUGAAAAUGCGUAACUUCUUUUGUUUAUUACAAUUUUAACAAAAAUAACUGUCGUUUUUUAAUGUAACACAAUGUCACUACCAAUUUGGCUAAUCUAACAAAAAGCUAAAAGGUUUUUAAUGUGUAAUAUUUAUAUAAAUUGGCUGGCAGUAACUGCGAAAGUUAGAAGUUAAAAAAUACACAAAUUUAUUAACUCCGCUUUUUAGCGCGAAAGUGAGUGCUGACAAAGACUCGUUAGCUCCAUAACAAGUUCAAACUUUCCAUUUACUUUAGUAUAAUUUGGAACAUUCUAAUGGAUUGCACCUAAAUGUAUGCUAAGCUAUUAUAUUUUUGCUAUGGAUUAAUGUAUAGCGUUUAAGUUUUUAAUAAGUACUAUUAUUAUUUUAUUUUGCAUUGAAGUUACUUAGAUCGCAUUUAGUACAAGUUAACACUGUAGUUUUACAAAAAAAUUUUAUUUUAUUAAAAAAAAAGUGUAAAGUAUGAAAAGGUAUGAAGUGUUUGUUGCCCUCACGAGACUUGCACCCGCGCAAUGCUAAGCGAAAAAGCAAAUUACCGUAUGAAUGACCGAGCAUACACAUACAACUGUCUUUUUUUUAUUUAUUUAUUUAUUUUAUUUUUUUCGUAAUGAUUUUCUUAGUUGUAUUCUUCAUGGUAGUAUAAUUGUAAGUACGACGAAUGUAAUAGUGUAUAGAAUAGCCAGUUUGCGGAAAAUUCAAUAGAAAAGCGAAAAAGAAGAAUGAAACUACAAAUGUACACUGGCGGUCACGCAUAACUUACCACCACAAUCUUCUUCGUGAAGUAGAAUUUUGUACAUUAAUAAAAUAAUUUGUGUCUAAACUUUGCACACAAUAUAGAAAAACUCAUCAAGUUUUCAUCAAAAUUUUUAGGAAAUUUUCGGUAUGAUAAUGUGCAAGCUUAAAGUGAUCCCAAAUUGUCAUUGAUUUGUAAAAAGUUUGCUGGCGCAGUUUUUUCCAAACAAUGCAUGCUUUUUAUAUGGGGAGAAUGCGCAACAUCGUAUGAAAAAAAAU